GCAUCAUUAUCUGCUAUCAUUGGGGGCCAACUGUGAAGCAUUUCCCAACAACAACAAAACUCUAACCAACUGUACUUUUGAAGACAAAUAAAGAACAGAAAAUUAUAUUUAAAAAGCUGUUAUCUCAGGAGUGUGAACAUUUUCCAGUGGUCCUGCAUCAGUCUGAUUUUGUGCAGUAUCCGACUUGAAUUCCAGUGGCUAUAGGUAAGAAACAGAAAGCCUCUCUAACAUACCUAACAUCAGUAGCUAUGUCUACAUGUAUCACAGUCUGCACAGUUGAGAGAGCCU
This 288-nucleotide long non-coding RNA is filed under the name Anas platyrhynchos platyrhynchos (common mallard). RNAcentral's name for it is "lncRNA (ENSAPLG00000020508.1)". The record is from RNAcentral. Lineage: Eukaryota; Metazoa; Chordata; Aves; Anseriformes; Anatidae.